RNAcentral lists this ribosomal RNA (216 nucleotides) under Triticum aestivum (bread wheat). RNAcentral describes it as "partial small subunit ribosomal RNA". The record is from RNAcentral. Lineage: Eukaryota; Viridiplantae; Streptophyta; Magnoliopsida; Poales; Poaceae.
AUGGCGUUGUGCGGGAGAUGGGGGGAGGCCGUCGUGGUGGUGGGGCUGGACUUUGCGGCCUGCGACGAGGCGGCCGUCGACGCCGCGGUGGCGGCGGCAUGGCGCUGCUUUGGCCACGGCGGGCUCAACACCCUGGUUAACUGCUGCUCCUAUGAAGGGGAAGUGCAAGACUGCCUCAGUGUAAUUGAAGAUGAGUACUCACACCUUGGCUGCUAA